RNAcentral lists this non-coding RNA (21 nucleotides) under Caenorhabditis elegans. The record is from RNAcentral. Lineage: Eukaryota; Metazoa; Nematoda; Chromadorea; Rhabditida; Rhabditidae.
UAAUUUUGCUGAAAAACAAAA